This is a non-coding RNA of Phthorimaea operculella (potato tuberworm), 72 nucleotides long. The record is from the annotation of a GenBank genome assembly. NCBI's taxonomy places the organism in Eukaryota, Metazoa, Arthropoda, Insecta, Lepidoptera, Gelechiidae.
GCAUCGACAGAUCAGUGGCAGAGUGGUGGGACGUUGAGCCAUGUGGCCUGGGUUCGAGCCACGGUCGAUGCA